Zophobas morio is the source of this 351-nucleotide long non-coding RNA. RefSeq lists it as uncharacterized. NCBI's taxonomy places the organism in Eukaryota, Metazoa, Arthropoda, Insecta, Coleoptera, Tenebrionidae. The transcript is spliced from 2 exons. The record is from RefSeq and is a predicted model, not a curated record.
UUAUCUUUUAUCAGAUUAGAUUUUGUUAGGAGUUUUCUUAUCAUAGUGAAAGUAACUUUUCAUGUACCACAAUCGAUUGAAUUUACCUGAAAUUGUUCUCGAUUUCUAUACCCAAAGUAUUAAGAUGGAUAGUACGACUUUAAGUAUUGGGAUACGAGCUGGGCAGUAUGUAGUACAAGUGGCGGCUACUGGAGGUGUGGCAUAUGUAUUGGCUGGUACAAUAACAGUUGGGAUCAUCUGUGGGAUUUGUUAUGUUGGCUAUAAAUAUGUGCAUCAAAAGAACGAAGCCCAUAAGAAUAAAUAAAUUGUUUUAUGUAUUUUUUCCUAGGCCAAUAAAAAAAUGGUAAAUUA